Molecule: ribosomal RNA, 464 nt
Filed under: uncultured bacterium
Lineage: Bacteria
Description: partial 16S ribosomal RNA
Rfam family: Bacterial small subunit ribosomal RNA
Source: RNAcentral
CUACGGGGGGCAGCAGUGGGGAAUAUUGGACAAUGGGGGGAACCCUGAUCCAGCCAUGCCGCGUGUGUGAAGAAGGCCUUUUGGUUGUAAAGCACUUUAAGCAGUGAAGAAGACUCUUCGGUUAAUACCCGGGGACGAUGACAUUAGCUGCAGAAUAAGCACCGGCUAACUCUGUGCCAGCAGCCGCGGUAAUACAGAGGGUGCAAGCGUUAAUCGGAAUUACUGGGCGUAAAGCGAGCGUAGGUGGCUUGAUAAGUCAGAUGUGAAAUCCCCGGGCUUAACCUGGGAACUGCAUCUGAAACUGUUAGGGUAGAGUAGGUGAGAGGGAAGUAGAAUUUCAGGUGUAGCGGUGAAAUGCGUAGAGAUCUGAAGGAAUACCGAUGGCGAAGGCAGCUUCCUGGCAUCAUACUGACACUGAGGCUCGAAAGCGUGGGUAGCAAACAGGAUUAGAUACCCUUGUAGUC